RNAcentral lists this long non-coding RNA (2288 nucleotides) under Gallus gallus (chicken). RNAcentral describes it as "lncRNA (ENSGALG00010018331.1)". The record is from RNAcentral. Lineage: Eukaryota; Metazoa; Chordata; Aves; Galliformes; Phasianidae.
GGCUAUGCCAGAGUCUUUCCUCAAAAUUCUCUGCAAUCCACAAUGAACAAAGCUAUGUCUGUGAGUACAGGAUGUUAAAGAUCCUGUAUUUAAGAAACCUCUAUUUUCCUGAAGAAUUUGUGUUUAUGCUGUACAUGGGCUGUUUGCUUGUUUGCCAGCUUUGGUUUCUCAGGGGCUUACCUGUGUUGUCAGGCAGCACGAUGUCUGCUAGUCUCACUUUUCCCAUCAUCCACUAAAAAUAAAUAAGAGGCAAAGACUGAGCUUUAUUUUAUGCUGCAUACUAAACUAGAACAAGAAGUCUUCUACUAAACAGAUGUGAAUUAAAAGGGUGACUGGAAUGUGCUUCAGUCCUUUCUAUACAUCUGUGUGUUCUAAACUAUGCUUUGUCUAAUCUAAGGCCAAAAUCUGCUCCCAUCAAAGUCAGCACAGUAAAGUGGAGCUACUGUGUUAUUUUUAAGCUUUUUAGUGUGAAGAUCUGCUGUUUUAACUCUAAAAUGUCGUUCAAACUUACUGAGGUGGCAUUAUAUCAAUACUAAAUGCAAAUAAGCCCAGCUUCAGAGAUGCUUCCCUAGGCAAUUAAAUAUCAGUGAAAACACAAAUGCCAAUCAACACAAAUCUGUGGAACUCAAAUAGAGGCUUAUAGAUUAACGUAUGCAACUAGUUUCCUGAAAUAUCACAAAAAUGCAGAUUUGGAAGUUCCUUUAGGUAGCCUAAUUCCUCCCAGGGUCUCCGUCUUCUUUCCUGCGAGUAGCAGUUAGUCUCUUUAAAAACACCAAUGAUCUGGAACAGAAUAUUUUCUUCCUGCCAGCACAAGUGAAGUACAUAAUGAUGCUAGACCAUGUUGACUCAUGCUGCUGAAAUCAAACACUAAGAGAGAGUAGUAGCAAAAGAUAAUUUGAGAUUGUGCUAAUGAAGCCAAGGCAUACUGUGGGUGCUGGAUCAUGCUGGGUUGAGUUGGUCAGUCUAAAGGCAGGUCUUGUCCACAGUGCUGGUGAGUACUAAGGAACUGAUUGAAAAGAGACCCCAUACAAACAAGUGCACGUGCCUGCCCUUCACAUAACACAUGAUCUGAUCUUGCACACACACACUUUUAGCGGUGAUGCCUCCCAUUCCAUACAGGUAGAUCUGGCUUUUUGUGCUCCCUUACAUCUGCAUACAAGUCACAUCUCAGCCCUUGUCUCACCACUAGGAAAUACCAGUGCCGCUUUUGGGGAAAGGAGACAUUUCUCUAGCAGGUGCUCCUUUGAGGCAGAUAGGAUUUGCUUUUUUUUGGCUGAACUCCCUGAAUGCAAAUUACAGACAAGUAAUAUGUGGCACGUAAGAGAAUAUUUUAGUCUCCCAAAUAUAUUCUACCUACACACUCUUUCUCUUUGUGAGAGCUGGAUGUUUAAAAAGAAAAUCUUACAGUGUCAGUUGUGAGAUGUAAACCAAACAGACCAUCCUACCAUUAAGCAGUUUCCCAGAUCCUGGAGUCAUGUAGUAACUAUUAUUAGAAAAAGCAGGAUUUGUGUCUGGAUCACAGCUUAGCAACAAUUUGAAUUUGUUCAGGCCAGCGUUCCAAAGUAGUUUUAGACUGAUUUUUUUUCCAAGUUCUAAUAGAAUUUGAUCUGGAUCUUGUAGACUCACAUGAGAAACCAUGAUUAGUCAUUUUCAGCCCUACGUUUGAAAAAAAAAAAAAAGAAAAAAAACUUUGCUAAAAUUUGGGGAAACAUUUUGGUGGGAUGCUGAUUUAUUUUUUUCCUGAUCAAUUUCAAAUUGUAGCAUAAGCAACUGGUUAAUCUUGCAAAGAUGUUAUGUCUACUCUUUUGUCUCUGUCCCACUUUCUCUCUGUAAGAUUUUAUGGUGCUUUAGGAAGGCAUUUUCAGAAAAGGGACAAUUUCAUAAAUGUCAUUACCAGGGUACAAACAGAAUGUGCUUGUACCAUCUUGAUAAGUUUUGCUGCUAUUGUCUUUAUUCUAUGAUGUAAUGUUUUACAAAGAUUAAAAAGAAAAAUUGCAACAAAGACCUUCUGGAUGAUGAAAAACUUUUCCUGUUGUUUUUUUUUUCUCUCUCUCUUUUUUUCCUAUCAUCCAGCAAAAGCAGAGGAGCUGUAAUUAAUCUUAUCUUCCGUGUAUCACACUGGAAAACAGAGAACUGCAGGAAGUCUAUUUUGCUUGCUUUUGAAAGGAAUGUUUCUACAGUGAAACCUCUGUAAAUCUACCCUUGGGUCCUGUUUCUUCCUUGGUCACAGCGCAUCCCAAGUCAUCUCUGUGACAGACCUUCCUUAAUGGGGAAAUCUCCAGCUGCAA